UGAUUGGGUUUGAUAUGAUUGAGCCCGAUUACAAGAAAAACUUGAUCCUGAUUCGAUCAUGAUUUUGACUCGACUAAUUUCUAAUUAGGUUAGAAAUUUGAUAAGAUAUCUAAAUUUCUAAUUGAACUAGAUUGAUUUCUAUCAGUGGGUUCAAUCUAAAUUUGAUUUGGAUUAGAAUCAGAAUUAGAAAUGAAGAAUCC
RNAcentral lists this long non-coding RNA (200 nucleotides) under Elaeis guineensis (African oil palm). Its description in RNAcentral is "long non-coding RNA (EGUI_LNC049302)". Lineage: Eukaryota; Viridiplantae; Streptophyta; Magnoliopsida; Arecales; Arecaceae. The record is from RNAcentral.